AGCUUGGUUAUACUUACGAGAACGGAUGACAACAGGGCAACUUGCAAUACUUGCAAAGUAGAUAUUUCAUUUAAGGGAGGAAACACUACGAAUAUGCAAAAGCAUUUGCUCACAAAACACGCGAUGACCUUAAAUGAAUGUCGUGUUUUUAAUUCCGCUCCGGACUCGUGAAUCUCAACCCAGCAGCAGCGGUAACGUUUGCACGUUCUCUCCCAUUAAUGCGGCAGGUGACCGUGAUGAGACAGAGUCUGGCUCAGAUGCUGGCAGUUCUCACUGCAGUCUACCGGUAGCGUCUCCUUUCAGGCCAGGAUAGACGAAUGUCACCGAGCAGUGACUCAGUUUGUGGUCAAAGGCUUGCACCCAUUUGCCACAGCAGAUGCCUCCGAUUUCACUUUGGUAAGUGAAUGUGUUUAAUUGUAGGCAGGGACAUUACUGGAUAUUCUUGUGUAAUUGCUACAGAAUAAUUUAUGUUACACUUUGUUAUUGCUACAGGAGAAUAUUUAUUUUAUUAUUUUACAUAUACAUUUUUUUUCCUGGGGACCCUGUGACACCCCAUUGAAGAGCCGUAGGCUGGAUCUCUUAAGAUCUCACUGUUGGGUUUGUAAGGCCAUGUUACUCCUAAAUUUCUAUCUUGUUCAAAGAGAAGAUAUAAAACACAGUUCUAAGCUAAUCGACCUUAGUGUUCUCCUUUUUUAAAAAAAAGAAUCGAUAAGAGAAUCGAUAAAGAAUCGAAUCGUUAAAAUCUUAUCAAUACCCAUCCCUAUGCGCAGUGCCUUUGUUUACAUACGCACAUGGCGGCGACGCAGAAUGAGAAGAGUGAAAGUGGAUCAUUGAAUAAAACGGAUGAACCCGAACUGGUUUGUAAAAAUGCUGCAGCUUCACUGGUGGAACUGGUUUAGCUUUCGUCCGUCAGAUACACAACAAAGCACUAUUUUUGGUAGCGCAUGCUAGCGGGCCGUCGCUAUUACCGUGUUGUUUGGAAAAUACGGCGCACUUAAAAUCAAUCCUUUGAUUUUUCCGAAAGUCGACAGAGUACGACUUUGCUAAGCUACGAAGCCGCACCGCUUGAUGGAUUGUCGGAGCAUUACGGCUAUCGUAGGCGGAGCCUCGCGGAGUGAUACGUACUGUGCUUCAACAUAAUGUUUCCGUAUUGUGUGUGUAUAACCUCUUUUUAAGUGUUGUGGAUGUUAUACAUGGUUAUGCUGAGGAUAUGUCGGCCAGUUUCCACUGGAAAUGCCUUUUGGUUAAACUGUCAGCGAGGAAUUUGCAUUUGCACUGUUACAUUUGUAUAUAACUUUAAUGCACAGAAAAAACAGCUGCUUGUUUAAGUGAAAAUGCAUUUUUUUGUUUUUUUU
Astatotilapia calliptera (eastern happy) is the source of this 1355-nucleotide long non-coding RNA. The record is from Ensembl. Lineage: Eukaryota; Metazoa; Chordata; Actinopteri; Cichliformes; Cichlidae.